Molecule: long non-coding RNA, 516 nt
Organism: Pongo pygmaeus (Bornean orangutan)
Lineage: Eukaryota; Metazoa; Chordata; Mammalia; Primates; Hominidae
Exons: 2
Source: RefSeq, a predicted model, not a curated record
UUUACAGGUCAUGAUGUGGAUUUCAAAUUCCUUUAGUCUCCUGGCCCUUCAUUCUUAGGAGUAAACCGGAGUUGAUCUUUAAAGUUAUUUGAUACCCGCAUUGUUUAAAGUCUGUUUUUAUUCCUCUUCAAGGCUCCUUGAAAUGCUGUCUCCAGCCCAUGCCUCCCAUUCCCACUCAGCCUUCCAUGACCGCAAACAUGAAAGAAAGACUCCUACAAAGGAAGACUAUCCACUCUCCUGGCCUGGAAGUGUUUGAAGAAAUCCUCAGGGGAUAUAACACCCAGGGCACAUAUGCCAAUAUGUCGGCCCAUUUUGAACGGCUGGAAUGUAGAAGCGGACUUUUGGCCACGUGGAUGAGGAAUUGAAGCAGUCAGUUCUGAUCUAGAGAUGGAAGGCGCCUGCUGAGGACAGCAGGGCUGCUUGGCACCCUGGGUCUCUGAAUGGCUCUGUGGAGCACUGCCUGAUGGCCCACCCUGGACUGUUGCCUGAGACAGAAAUAAACUUCUAUCUUGUUUC